Molecule: ribosomal RNA, 253 nt
Filed under: uncultured bacterium
Lineage: Bacteria
Description: partial 16S ribosomal RNA
Rfam family: Bacterial small subunit ribosomal RNA
Source: RNAcentral
UACGAAGGGGGCUAGCGUUGUUCGGAAUUACUGGGCGUAAAGCGCGUGUAGGCGGGUCUUUAAGUCAGGGGUGAAAUGCCAAGGCUCAACCUUGGAACUGCCUUUGAUACUGGAGAUCUUGAGUCCGGGAGAGGUGAGUGGAAUUGCGAGUGUAGAGGUGAAAUUCGUAGGUAUUCGCAAGAACACCAGUGGCGAAGGCGGCUCACUGGCCCGGAACUGACGCUGAGACGCGAAAGCGUGGGGAGCAAACAGG